Molecule: ribosomal RNA, 451 nt
Filed under: uncultured bacterium
Lineage: Bacteria
Description: bacterial SSU rRNA
Rfam family: Bacterial small subunit ribosomal RNA
Source: RNAcentral
AUUGAACGCUGGCGGCAUGCCUUACACAUGCAAGUCGAACGGCAGCGCGGACUUCGGUCUGGCGGCGAGUGGCGAACGGGUGAGUAAUACAUCGGAACAUGUCCAGUAGUGGGGGAUAGCCCGGCGAAAGCCGGAUUAAUACCGCAUACGAUCUUUGGAUGAAAGCGGGGGAUCGCAAGACCUCGCGCUAUUGGGGUGGCCGAUGGCGGAUUAGGUAGUUGGUGGGGUAAAGGCCUACCAAGCCGACGAUCCGUAGCUGGUCUGAGAGGACGACCAGCCACACUGGGACUGAGACACGGCCCAGACUCCUACGGGAGGCAGCAGUGGGGAAUUUUGGACAAUGGGGGCAACCCUGAUCCAGCAAUGCCGCGUGUGUGAAGAAGGCCUUCGGGUUGUAAAGCACUUUUGUCCGGAAAGAAAACCUUCGCUCUAAUACAGUGGGGGGAUGACG